CAGUUGACGAGUUUUAUGCGA
RNAcentral lists this microRNA (21 nucleotides) under Ananas comosus (pineapple). RNAcentral describes it as "microRNA s0173_c069". Lineage: Eukaryota; Viridiplantae; Streptophyta; Magnoliopsida; Poales; Bromeliaceae. The record is from RNAcentral.